RNAcentral lists this long non-coding RNA (989 nucleotides) under Phoenix dactylifera (date palm). RNAcentral's name for it is "long non-coding RNA (PDAC_LNC006243)". The record is from RNAcentral. Lineage: Eukaryota; Viridiplantae; Streptophyta; Magnoliopsida; Arecales; Arecaceae.
UGUUAGCAAUAAAUCAUAUAAAUAAACAAUAAAUCUAUUAAUUCAAUUAAAGGAAAAUCUUAAAGGGAAUAAUAUACAUGCAUAUUAUUCGGCAUCCAAAUAAUUCUAUUUCAAUGCAAGAUAAAUCUAUUCUAGCACAAAAUAAAUCUAUGUAUUUAAUAAAUUUAUAUUAUAGAAUUUCAAAUCCUACAAAUCUACUAAUAUUAAAUUAAAAAUAAAAGUAGAAGAAAGUAGCCUGAUUGAAGGCAGGUCGAAGCGCGUAGACGCUGUCCCAAAGAAGUAUUUGCCCCNNNNNNNNNNNNNNNNNNNNUUUUCAAACGCGUCCGUUUUCAAAUGCGUAACGCCCGCUGGGCGUUACCUUUUUCUCAAACGCGCACGCGGCCCGAGAUUUUGGCCGCGUGCGCAUUUAAGGUUUUUUUUUCAACAAUCCCCCAAAAAAAAAACUUAAAUAAUUUUAAAAUCAAAAUAAAAUGCUGGAUAUCUUAUAUUAUGUAAUAGGUGUAGGUACCUUUCGGUUUGAACCUUCACUUAGUGACAAUUGAUUACAUCUGUGGAGCCAAGGUGGUCUUAACCUUGAACCUCAGUCCAUGGCUCAGAUUAAAUCAACAGCACACAUAAUAUAGCCCGAUCUGGGUUCUAAGCGGGUUGCGCUGUUAUGGCCAUGCGCAGAUAUCUAUUAUGUGCUUUUUAGGCAAUCGCCCAUUUUCCAUAAUCGCGGCCUCACGACUGCACAUAUAGGUGAGUCCUAAUAAGGAAGCUAGCAAGGAAGCUCCUGCCACUUGGGUCUCGGACUCAUUAAGAGUUAUACAAACGAACUCAUCCUACCGCUUGCUUUUAUGAGCACUAGUGCCAUAGGGAUGAGGAAAACAUGAAAUAGUGCUCCUCUUAGUCACACUCCGGUUUGUUUCUACCCAUUGAACCUUUUAAGGUUGGGUUCCCACCGUGGUGAUCUAUCUUUAUGGGCUAAGCCCCAUCCCCCUCGACGACUC